Long non-coding RNA from Raphanus sativus (radish), 729 nucleotides. RefSeq lists it as uncharacterized. The transcript has 4 exons. Lineage: Eukaryota; Viridiplantae; Streptophyta; Magnoliopsida; Brassicales; Brassicaceae. The record is from RefSeq and is a predicted model, not a curated record.
AUGCUUUUUGGGUUAAAAAAACAUAACCCAACGCCGUUUCUCUCUCUUGGCGAUUUUUGGAGAAAUUUUCGGCGAACGUUUCUGCCGCUCCAGUGCUCUAUUCCAUCUCUUUGCUUCCUGUUCCGGUCAAUCUCAUGGCUUCUACUCCCGCUGGAGAACGAAAGGGGCUUCAUCUCUCAGGUGAACAAACGGGGCUUAACGAACAGUGGUUCAUCUCUCCUUGACUUCAGAUCUGAGCCUGCGAAUGAUCUCAUCAACUAGAGAUUGAAAAAUCUGAAUCUUAAUAAGGGUGAAGAUGCUGCCAUAGUUCAACGUGAAGAACGAGAAGGUAUGACACUGGGCAGCCUUGGUUUCAACGUGAAGAAUUUUAAAAAUAUCCCUCCUUGCAAUACCUUUUUUGGAAAUUCGGGGAGAAUAUAUACGAAGAAAAAUUAAGGUCGGUUCUGGCUGGUCCAACGGCAGACACAUCAAUUCCUUGGGACUUUUGCAUUUAUUACUUGGAACUCUAUGGGAAACGCAUGUGCAUGGUGGCACUGCAGUAAUGUCUAUGGGUGUAUUUUAACAUAAGUUUAACAUGUAAUAUGAUUUCAAAGCAGUAGAAAAUAAGUUUAGCGCAUAAAAUUGACUUAAAGAUCCACAAUUUCAAAGUAAGCAUGCCACAAAUUCUACAUAAGUUCAUACUUGUCUAUGUAACAUAGGUUGGGUAAGGAAUAAAUUAACUCAACGACA